CUGCCCGGUGUUAAUAAUAAACGGCCGCGAAAGUGCUAAGGUAGCAUAAUAAUUUGUCUUUUUAUUGGAGACUAGUAUGAAUGGCAUAACGAGACUUAACUGUAUCAAGUAAAUUGAUUAUAUAAAAUUAAUAUACAAGUGAAAAACCUNGUGAUUAUAUAAAAGACGAGAAGACCCUAUAGAGUUUUAGUAAAAUUUACUUUUAUUGGGGCAAUAUAUGUGUAAAUAGAAACAUAAACCCAAAUACCCUAUAAUAGAAAAUAAUAUAAACUACCUUAGGGAUAACAGCGUAAUAUAAUCUGAGAGACCUAAUCAAAGAUUAUGUUUGCGACCUCGAUGUUGGACUAGGGUAUCUAAUUAAUGCAGAAGUUAAUAAAAGAAAGCCUGUUCGGCUUAAAAUCCCCUACGUGAUCUGAGUUCAGACCGGUAUCAACAAUAGGGUU
RNAcentral lists this ribosomal RNA (443 nucleotides) under Celleporaria vermiformis. RNAcentral's name for it is "partial large subunit ribosomal RNA". It matches the Rfam family "Bacterial large subunit ribosomal RNA", at positions 1859 to 2637 of the family's 2925-position model. The record is from RNAcentral. Lineage: Eukaryota; Metazoa; Bryozoa; Gymnolaemata; Cheilostomatida; Lepraliellidae.